AGUUUUCCUAGGUCUUCCUCUACCCCUUCGGCCCUGAACCUCUGUCCCGUAGUCACAUUUUCGAACCGAAGCGUCAGUAGGCCUUCUUUGCACAUGUCCAAACCACCGGAACCGAUUUUCUCUCAUAUUUCCUUCAAUUUUGGCUACUCCUACUUUACCUCGGAUAUCCUCAUUCCCAAUCUUAUCCUUUCUCGUGUGCCCAUACAUCCCACGAAGCAUCCUCAUCUCCGCUACACCCAUUUUGUGUACGUGUUGAUGCUUCACCGCCCAACCUUCUGUGCCAUACAACAUCGCUGGCCUUAUUGCCGUCCUAUAAAAUUUUCCCUUGAGCUUCAGUGGCCUACGACGGUCACACAACACGCCGGAUGCACUUCAUCCAUCCAGCUUGUAUUCUAUGGUUGAGAUCUCCAUCUAAUUCUCCGUUCUCUUGCAAGAAAGAUCCUAGGUAGCGAAAACGGUCACUUUUUGUGAUCUUCGCUAGAUUGCUCCGGUCAUUAGUGUGGAUAAGUAUAUAAAUGGAUAGAGAUAGGAAAGCAAACACAAGAUGUACGUGGUUCACCCAGAUUGGUUACGUCCACGGAAUAGAGGAGUUCUCAUUAAUUGUGAAGGGUUUACACAAGUACAUAGGUUCAAGCUCUCCUUUAGUAAGUACAAGUGAAUGAUUUAGUACAAAUGACAUUAGGAAAUAUUGUGGGAGAAUGAUCUCGUAACCACGAAACUUCUAAGUACUGGAGUGUGGUAUCGUCUUGACUUUCCUUAUCUGUCUCAUAGGUAGAUGUGGCAUCUUCUCU
This 791-nucleotide long non-coding RNA is filed under the name Malus domestica (apple). RNAcentral's name for it is "long non-coding RNA (MDOM_LNC013799)". Lineage: Eukaryota; Viridiplantae; Streptophyta; Magnoliopsida; Rosales; Rosaceae. The record is from RNAcentral.